GACGAACGCUGGCGGCGUGCUUAACACAUGCAAGUCGCACGAGGACGGGAGCUUGCUCCCGAGCCGAGUGGCGGACGGGUGAGUAACACGUGACCAGCCUGUCCUAGGGUGAGGGACAACCUGGGGAAACCCGGGCUAAUACCGCAUGAUGUCUCGAGGUCGCAUGGCCAUGAGAUCAAAGAGGGCCUCUGCUUGCAAGCUCUCGCCCUGGGAGGGGGUCGCGGCGUAUCAGCUAGUUGGUAGGGUAACGGCCUACCAAGGCUACGACGCGUAGCGGGUCUGAGAGGACGACCCGCCUCAUUGGGACUGAGAUACGGCCCAGACUCCUACGGGAGGCAGCAGUGGGGAAUAUUGCGCAAUGGACGAAAGUCUGACGCAGCGACGCCGCGUGUGGGAGGAAGGUCUUCGGGGUGUAAACCACUGUCAGGGGGAAGAAACUCGCCGGCCCGAAUAGGAACGGCGAUUGACGGUACCUCCAAAGGAAGCGCCGGCUAACUCCGUGCCAGC
Molecule: ribosomal RNA, 507 nt
Filed under: uncultured bacterium
Lineage: Bacteria
Description: bacterial SSU rRNA
Rfam family: Bacterial small subunit ribosomal RNA
Source: RNAcentral